UACAUAGGUGGCAAGCGUUGUCCGGAAUAACUGGGUGUAAAGGGCGAGUAGGUGGGAUGAGAAGUCAGAUGUGAAAUUUGUUGGCUCAACCAAUAAGCUGCAUCUGAAACUGACACUCUUGAGUGCUGGAGAGGGAAGCGGAAUUCCUAGUGUAGCGGUGAAAUGCGUAGAUAUUAGGAGGAACACCAGUGGCGAAGGCGGCUUUCUGGACAGUAACUGACACUGAGGCGCGAAAGCGUGGGGAGCGAAC
This 250-nucleotide ribosomal RNA is filed under the name uncultured prokaryote. Its description in RNAcentral is "partial 16S ribosomal RNA". It matches the Rfam family "Bacterial small subunit ribosomal RNA", at positions 524 to 773 of the family's 1533-position model. The record is from RNAcentral.